RNAcentral lists this ribosomal RNA (351 nucleotides) under uncultured microorganism. Its description in RNAcentral is "bacterial SSU rRNA". It matches the Rfam family "Bacterial small subunit ribosomal RNA", at positions 9 to 351 of the family's 1533-position model. The record is from RNAcentral.
GAGUUUGAUCUUGGCUCAGAUUGAACGCUGGCGGCAUGCCUUACACAUGCAAGUCGAACGGCAGCAUGAUCUAGCUUGCUAGAUUGAUGGCGAGUGGCGAACGGGUGAGUAAUACAUCGGAACGUGCCCUGUAGUGGGGAGUAACUAGUCGAAAGAUUAGCUAAUACCGCAUACGACCUGAGGGUGGAAAGUAGGGGGACCGGCAAGGCCUCAUGCUAUAGGAGCGGCCGAUGUCUGAUUAGCUAGUUGGUGGGGUAAAGGGCCCACCAAGGCGACGAUCAGUAGCUGGUCUGAGAGGACGAUCAGCCACACUGGGACUGAGACACGGCCCAGACUCCUACCGGGAGGCAG